RNAcentral lists this ribosomal RNA (508 nucleotides) under uncultured bacterium. Its description in RNAcentral is "partial 16S ribosomal RNA". It matches the Rfam family "Bacterial small subunit ribosomal RNA", at positions 30 to 523 of the family's 1533-position model. The record is from RNAcentral.
AUUGAACGCUAGCGGCAGGCUUAAUACAUGCAAGUCGAGGGGCAGCAGGUCCCGCAGCAAUGCGGGAUGCUGGCGACCGGCAAACGGGUGCGGAACACGUACAGAACCUUCCUUUAAGUGGGGAAUAGCCCGGGGAAACCCGGAUUGAUACCCCGUAACAUAAUGAAGUGGCAUCACUUUAUUAUUAUAGCAGCAAUGCGCUUGAAGAUGGCUGUGCGGCUGAUUAGGUAGUUGGCGGGGUAACGGCCCACCAAGCCUACGAUCAGUAACUGGUGUGAGAGCACGACCAGUCACACGGGCACUGGGACACGGGCCCGACUCCUACGGGAGGCAGCAGUAAGGAAUAUUGGGCAAUGGACGCAAGUCUGACCCAGCCAUGCCGCGUGGAGGAUGAAGGUCCUCUGGAUUGUAAACUUCUUUUAUCUGGGAAGAAAUCUAUUUUUUCUAAAGUAGUUGACGGUACCAGAUGAAUAAGCACCGGCUAACUCCGUGCCAGCAGCCGCGGUAA